Molecule: transfer RNA, 84 nt
Filed under: Lutimonas vermicola
Lineage: Bacteria; Pseudomonadati; Bacteroidota; Flavobacteriia; Flavobacteriales; Flavobacteriaceae
Also listed under: 4 other names
Description: tRNA-Leu
Rfam family: tRNA
About the family: Transfer RNA (tRNA) molecules are approximately 80 nucleotides in length. Their secondary structure includes four short double-helical elements and three loops (D, anti-codon, and T loops). Further hydrogen bonds mediate the characteristic L-shaped molecular structure. tRNAs have two regions of fundamental functional importance: the anti-codon, which is responsible for specific mRNA codon recognition, and the 3' end, to which the tRNAs corresponding amino acid is attached (by aminoacyl-tRNA synthetases). tRNAs cope with the degeneracy of the genetic code in two manners: having more than one tRNA (with a specific anti-codon) for a particular amino acid; and 'wobble' base-pairing, i.e. permitting non-standard base-pairing at the 3rd anti-codon position.
Source: RNAcentral
GCCUUGGUGGCGGAAUUGGUAGACGCGCUGGAUUCAAAAUCCAGUGAUUGCAAGAUCGUGUGGGUUCGAUUCCCACCCAAGGUA